Molecule: small nuclear RNA, 107 nt
Organism: Vicugna pacos (alpaca)
Lineage: Eukaryota; Metazoa; Chordata; Mammalia; Artiodactyla; Camelidae
Source: Ensembl
GUACUCUCUUUGGCAGCACAUAUACCAAAAUUGAAAUGACACAGAGAAGAUUAGCACGGCCCCUGAGCAAGAAUGACAUGCGAAUUUGUGAGGUGUUCCAUAUUUUU